This 410-nucleotide ribosomal RNA is filed under the name uncultured bacterium. RNAcentral describes it as "bacterial SSU rRNA". It matches the Rfam family "Bacterial small subunit ribosomal RNA", at positions 97 to 520 of the family's 1533-position model. The record is from RNAcentral.
GGCGAACGGGUGAGUAACACGUGAGCAACCUGCCCCUGGCUCUGGGACAACCACUGGAAACGGUGGCUAAUACCGGAUACGACCUAUCACCGCAUGGUGUGUGGGUGGAAAGUUUUUCGGCUGGGGAUGGGCUCGCGGCCUAUCAGCUUGUUGGUGGGGUGAUGGCCUACCAAUGGCGACGACGGGUAGCCGGCCUGAGAGGGCGACCGGCCACACUGGGACUGAGACACGGCCCAGACUCCUACGGGAGGCAGCAGUGGGGAAUAUUGCACAAUGGGCGAAAGCCUGAUGCAGCGACGCCGCGUGAGGGAUGACGGCCUUCGGGUUGUAAACCUCUUUCAGCUCCGAAGAAGCGAAAGUGACGGUAGGAGCAGAAGAAGCACCGGCUAACUACGUGCCAGCCGCCGCGG